Small nuclear RNA from Symphalangus syndactylus (siamang), 105 nucleotides. The record is from RefSeq and is a predicted model, not a curated record. NCBI's taxonomy places the organism in Eukaryota, Metazoa, Chordata, Mammalia, Primates, Hylobatidae.
GCUUGCUUCAGCAACACAUAUACUAUAAUUGGAACAAUACAGAGAAGAUUAUCAUGACCCCUGAGCAAAGAUGACAUGGAAAUUUGUGAAGUAUUUCAUAUUUUU